Triticum aestivum (bread wheat) is the source of this 4221-nucleotide long non-coding RNA. RefSeq lists it as uncharacterized. The transcript is spliced from 7 exons. Lineage: Eukaryota; Viridiplantae; Streptophyta; Magnoliopsida; Poales; Poaceae. The record is from RefSeq and is a predicted model, not a curated record.
CAACGAAGCCGGCUCCUCUCUCCCCGCUCGUCUCCUCCUCUCCCCCACGCCGCCCCUCCUCUCCUCUUCCCUCGACGCCGGCUCCCCUGUUUGCUACCCGGGCCAGAGCCUCUCCGACCGCUCCCCCCAGCCGGCGCCCACUAGCUACUCUCCAGAUUCAUCCUCCCCGAGGUCCGGGUACGGAGAUAGUCGUGGUGGCAGGGGGCAGAUGCAUGAGGAGGAGGAGGCCGUGGUCAUGGUGGCGUGGCUCGCUCGCCGCCGUCAAACUCGCGCCCCCCCUUUUCCCCGCCCCCUCCCUGGCGUCCUUACCUCUGCCAUAGCCUUCGAGCCUCCCUCUCCAUCGACCUUCCCGUUCUCUCCCUCUUCGGUCACUCGGUGGACAUCGGGGAGGAAGGAGGUGCGAGGCUUGGAACUCUCCUUGUGAAGGGCUCAGGGACAUUGGCCAGGCGCAUGGCAGGUGUCCAGCUCGACAUCUCGGCAACAGCAACAAGAGCAGAGCAAUGAGAUCGCAAAGUCUAUGAUACCUUUCGCUUCCUGCUUGAUUCACUUGGUUCCUCCGCUGAUUUCUCCUUGUUUUCCCAGGGUUGUUGUGGUUGUAGAAUGGCGCGGAGCAACUGGGAAGAGGACAAGCAAACAGAAGCAGGCUUCCUGGUUGAUUAGAUGUUUGGCAUUUCGCUUGAAUAAGAAGCUAUUUCUCAAGCAGAGGAAUACAGUUAUGCUGCGCUCUUCCAUUUUUCAGGCUUUGGUUUUCACUGAUAUCAAGAUAAAGUUGCUUCGCAUGGAGCUUCAGUAAGGUUGCUCACCAAUGAGCUGGAAGUGUUUUUUUCCUGGGUACUUGCACGAUUGAGGAAGAGACUGGUUAUUUCUAAAUGUGCUACUGCAGAUAAAAGAUGAACUCAUCCUAUUUCCUUUCUUCAAUCUCAGGCUAGAUAGAUACAAAAGGUUUAGUAAAGGAGGACUCAAGUCUGCAACCACCAUAGAGAUAUGGCCAUGGCCCAUGGAAGUAUGGAACAAUAGUGUGUGGAUGUUCUAUGCAAUUUUUCUCUCAUCGAGCUAUGCCUCCCGUCUCACUGGGCCAAGGCUCGACUUUCCUACCAUAUACUCCUUCCGUAAAGAAAUAUAAGAGCGUUUAGAUCACUAAAGUAGUGAUCUUUAGUGAUCUAAACACUCUUAUAUUUCUUUACAGAGGGAGUAUUUGUUUUCUUUGCUGCAAAGUAUUUUGAGAUUAUAGUGUGUUGAGCAUGCAAUCCUGAUUCCUGGAAAAAAAGAUUAUGUAGUCUAUCGCACAUGCUCGGUUUCAGAGUAAAUCCAAAGCCAUUUGCUGCCUCUUGAAUUUUUGGUUCUACCUCAUGCACAAAAUCUCUCAUGGUUCUACUUCUACCUUUCUGCCUCUUGAAUAUUAUCUGUUGAUUGGCUUAUUGAUGUUUGCUACUGCGCAUAUUAGUUCCCUAGGGUCGUAAAAAAACUACAUUUCUACUCUAUGAUUAUGUCUCAAACAUGUUUUCUAGAUUGCAAGUUUGAUUUCUUUGUCUUCCACAUGGUUGGUUUAGUUUCUCACCUUGCAUAAAAAUUUAGGUUGGAAUGUUGCCAGUCCAGCCUAUGCUGAUGAUGUAUCUGCUAUAAUGGGAUCAUGACAGAAAUUAUUUAUUUUGUUAUAUACCUGCAUCUCACUUUGUUAAUUUACACAACGCCAUUUCAUAUUUACAUUUAAUUGUACUCCCUCUGUUCUUGAAAAGAAGGCAUAUCAAUUUUGGUCAAAGUCAAAUAAUGUAAAGUUUGACCAAGUUAAUCCAACAAACUUAUACGUUUUCUUUCCAGGCACGGAGGGAGUACCUACUUAGUUUGAUUACUGCAUCUAAAGUUUAUUUCUGCUUCUACUAAUACUUCACCUUCAUUUCUGUACUUACAUUUAAAUUAUGCACCUACUUUAUUUCUACUUCUACUUUUUCUCUGCACCUACAGUAUCAGUGUUGUAUCUGCUUGUGGAGCUAUGCUCUGUUGCAUUGAGCUAAGAUUGAUUGCAUGCAGGGGUAUGUCAAGGUGUAGGUGCAGACUCAUUGUUGGUGUUGAAUACUGGAGUAAGAAUGAUGAUCAAUACUCUAAUGAACCUGCAUGAUGUAGCGUUACUAUUAGGAUAUAUGGGUUAUGCACAUGCUCUUUUUUGACAGUAGGUUAGACAAGUGUGGUUUUUUCAGUUUUUCUGUGUCGAUUUCUCUACUGUAAAGCAAAGGCUGGUUGUUAGUCUUUGGAGUCGAGAGUAUUUUUUUACUUGGAAGAUCGCAACAUUGCCGAUAGAAGAAUGAGUUUUAUAGCAAAUCAGGUUCAGACUUCUAUACUACUGCUUACAUCACCAUGAUGGUUGGAAUAUAAUUAAGACUUUGUUCCUGGAUGAUGAGAUCAUCUAUGACAGUGAUGGGCGGUGCACUGUGAUUGUGAGUAUCUAUAUAGAUCACGUUAACACAUGCGUUUGUCCACCAUGCUCACUAUCCAGUUACGCCACACCAAAUUCCUAUUGUAAUUGGUUGGCUAUAUGACAGCAGUGUACUAUUGUUCUGUGUUGGUGCUUAUCCAAUCAAACAUAGUAUGUACUUAUUUGAACCCGGCCUCACCGGCAUCCUGAGGUGACACAGCGACGGCCGCGCUCAACACCCUCUUUCGCGACUCAACGACAGCCUAGCGUCAUAGGCGGCUCAUACGGUGGUCCAGUGGAUGGCGACCCAUUUGGGUGGGCGACGAGGACCGCAGCUGGUGCACGAGCUUACACUCAACCUGUCCAUACUCAACUCUUCGUCUCGGUUGCGGACUGAGAGUUGGAUGCUCUGUGCCAGCAUAUGGAAGUGUUGUGACCACUGUUGUUCCGGCUGUGAGGUAUAAUGCUAAUUGGGCUUGUGAAUUUAUCGUGUCUUGGAAUGGAUUGCCGAAUUGUUGGGGUUUUCUCAGUAUGUAGUUUCUUUUACUUAUUUUUUAUUCUCAUAAUUCAGUGGUCCUUGAUUGCAACCUGGUGUCAUCCUGUUCCUACUCACAUGUUAUAGUAGUGCACGAGCUGACAGGGAAGAAAUCUUGGUUUCAAAGUUCUCUUUGUCCGUGGCCAGCUGAGUCGGGUCUACAUAACUUUGCUAUCCGACAGAUAUAGCUAUUUUAUUUUCCCAUUCAAUUAGGCAAUCUUUUGAGGAGGUUAAAAUGAGUUAUAUUUUGGGCAUGCUUGAUGGCUAUUUGUAUGUUGGGUCAUGUUAGUGGUGUUCUUUAUUUGUUCAUGGGUCAGAUUGUUUGUUUGGUCUUAUGGUUUACACGUUUGUCUUGACAGUGUUGAUAUGUUUAUAUAGUACUUUUGGAAUGGGAUAUGAUUCUUUUUGGGCUUUUUAGUUUAUGCAUUCUUUCUAAGAAUCUUGAUAUCCGGCUGUGUUGUUGUAGAUUUGUAUUUUUUUUCUUGGGAUCCAUCUAUUCAGCCAUGUUGGAGUAGGCUAUAUGAUUUUUUUAGUUCUGACCACAUGCGCUUCUUCCUUGGUCUGUUCACCAAGGUUUUCUCCCUUCCUUUCUCACUAUUGAUGCACUAGCUUUGUUUCAGUAUACUCUUAUGAUGCUCUGCGUCUGUGAUGAUCCACCACCAACUGAGUCAUGGACACCGACUUAAAAAAUGAACAAGGCUACCCCUUCAGCUGCAGGUGCAUGGUACCAUGUCUGGACUUGGCUUUUGAUUUCAAUUCGUCUUGCUUUUUUGUACUAAAUCUUUGAUUCAUGCUUUUUCUCUCUUCAAUAGUAAAUCAUCUUGCAAUACCCAUGGUGCCACACGUGUUUUAUUCACCAAUCCUAUCAAGAGAAAUCAAAAUCAAGACGCCGAUCAGCUUAGCCUUGGGCUGCUCCUUUUCUGCCUUUUGUUUCUUGUAUACACUCAUCUUUCUUUGAUGUACCUGAAUUUCUUUUUGUUGUGUUAGGUUGACAAUGACACUGCAGAUGUAGCUUCUCUGACCGCUGCCGGCUUAACCAGACAAAGACAAAGUGCUAUGAUGUAGGCAUGGUUUAAAAACUAGAGCCUUUGGCUGGUCAAGUAGCCUUGCCAAAGCGUUUGUGUAAUCUCUUCAAGUGGUAUGAAGCAAAUUCUAUGUAUGUAACACGCAGGAAGCAGAUAAUAAUUAUAUAGAAGCAGAGAAUCAACCUUGCUAGAGCGUUUGUCAAAUCUCUGCUCGAGUAGCCUUGCCAAACUUUAUCUGCUGUGUUCUUUAC